Molecule: ribosomal RNA, 423 nt
Filed under: uncultured bacterium
Lineage: Bacteria
Description: partial 16S ribosomal RNA
Rfam family: Bacterial small subunit ribosomal RNA
Source: RNAcentral
AAUAUGGGACAAUGGGGGCAACCCUGAUCCAGUCAUGCCGCGUGCGUGAAGAAGCACUUCGGUUUGUAAAGCACUUUAUGUCGGGAGGAAGGGCUCUAGACUAAUACUCUGAAGUUCUCAAGUUAUCAACAUAAUAUGCACCGGCUAACUCUGUGCUAGCAGCCGCGGUAAUACAGAGGGUGCAAGCGUUAAUCGGAAUUACUGGGCGUAAAGCGCGCGUAGGUGGUUCAGUAAGAUGGGUGUGAAAUCCCCGGGCUUAACCUGGGACCUGCUUUCAUAACUGCUGAGCUAGAGUACGGUAGAGGGUAGUGGAAUUUCCUGUGUAGCGGUGAAAUGCGUAGAUAUAGGAAGGAACACCAGUGGCGAAGGAGACUACCUGGACUGAUACUGACACUGAGGUGCGAAAGCGUGGGGAGCAAACAG